This 1349-nucleotide ribosomal RNA is filed under the name uncultured marine eukaryote. RNAcentral's name for it is "SSU rRNA". It matches the Rfam family "Eukaryotic small subunit ribosomal RNA", at positions 411 to 1773 of the family's 1831-position model. The record is from RNAcentral.
CACUUCUAAGGAAGGCAGCAGGCGCGCAAAUUACCCAAUCCUGACUCAGGGAGGUAGUGACAAGAAAUAACAAUAAACCGGCUUAUGCCGGUUUAAUUGGAAUGAGUACAAUUUAAACAUCUUAACGAGGAACAAUUGGAGGGCAAGUCUGGUGCCAGCAGCCGCGGUAAUUCCAGCUCCAAUAGCGUAUACUAAAGUUGUUGCAGUUAAAAAGCUCGUAGUUGGAUUUCUGUGGGGACGGAGCGGCCGGCCGCAACUCGCGGUUCGAGCUAGCGCUUUCCCUACAUCCUGCCGCGAACCGUGCUACCAUUAGUUUGGUGGCGCCGGGGAUCGGCUCGAUUACUUUGAGAAAAAUAGAGUGUUCAAAGCAGGCCACACGCCUUGAAUAAGUUAGCGUGGAAUAAUAACUAAGGACUUCGGUUCUAUUUUGUUGGUGUUCGGGACUGAAGUAAUGAUUGAUAGGGACAGUUGGGGCGGUCUGUAUUCCAAAGCGAGAGGUGAAAUUCUUAGACCUUCGGAAGACAAACAGCUGCGAAAGCGUUCCGCAAGGAUGUUCCCUUUGAUCAAGAACGAAAGUUGGGGGAUCGAAGACGAUCAGAUACCGUCGUAGUCUCAACUAUAAACUAUACCAGCUAGGGAUCGGCCAACGUUAUUUAAACCGACUUGGUCGGCACCUUAUGAGAAAUCAAAGCAUCUGGGUUCCGGGGGGAGUAUGGUCGCAAGGCUGAAACUUAAAGGAAUUGACGGAAGGGCACCACCAGCCGUGGAGCCUGUGGCUUAAUUUGACUCAACACGGGAAAACUUACCAGGUCCAGACAUAGUAAGGAUUGACAGAUUGAUAGCUCUUUCUUGAUUCUGUGGGUGGUGGUGCAUGGCCGUUCUUAGUUGGUGGAGUGAUUUGUCUGGUUAAUUCCGUUAACGAACGAGACCCCAGCCUGCUAAAUAGCGCGCGUGAGCUUUGCUCGCAGCGAGCUUCUUAGAGGGACUAUGAUGCGCGAUAGCACAUGGAAGUUUGGGGCAAUAACAGGUCUGUGAUGCCCUUAGAUGUUCUGGGCCGCACACGGGCUACACUGGCGCCUGCAACGAGCAUAUCAGCUGGCCCGAGAGGGUCUUGGCUAAUCUUUUGAACCGGCGCCGUGCUUGGGAUUGACCUUUGCAAUUGUUGGUCAUGCAACGAGGAAUGCCUUGUAAACGCGAGUCAUCAGCUCGCAUUGAAUACGUCCCUGCCCUUUGUACACACCGCCCGUCGCUCCUACCGAUGAAUGUUCCGAUGAAAUUUUCGGAGAGUGCCUGUGAACUUGGCUCUGCCUUGCGAACGGGAAGCUCAAAGUCACUUAAAUCUGAACAUU